This 495-nucleotide ribosomal RNA is filed under the name uncultured bacterium. RNAcentral's name for it is "partial 16S ribosomal RNA". It matches the Rfam family "Bacterial small subunit ribosomal RNA", at positions 28 to 507 of the family's 1533-position model. The record is from RNAcentral.
GACGAACGCUGGCGGCGUGCCUAAUACAUGCAAGUCGAACGCUGAAGGAGGAGCUUGCUUCUCUGGAUGAGUUGCGAACGGGUGAGUAACGCGUAGGUAACCUGCCUGGUAGCGGGGGAUAACUAUUGGAAACGAUAGCUAAUACCGCAUAAUAGUAGAUGUCGCAUGACAUUUGCUUAAAAGUUGCAAUUGCAUCACUACUAGAUGGACCUGCGUUGUAUUAGCUAGUUGGUGAGGUAACGGCUCACCAAGGCAACGAUACAUAGCCGACCUGAGAGGGUGAACGGCCACACUGGGAAUGGGAAACGGCCCAGACCCCUACGGGAGGCAGCAGGAGGGAAACUUCGGCAAAGGACGGAAGGCUGACCGAGCAACGCCGCGGGAGGGGAGGAGGGUUUCGGAUCGUAAAGAUCUGUUGUAAGAGAAGAACGAGUGUGAGAGUGGAAAGUUCACACUGUGACGGUAGCUUACCAGAAAGGGACGGCUAACUACGUG